Long non-coding RNA from Oncorhynchus tshawytscha (Chinook salmon), 2488 nucleotides. RefSeq lists it as uncharacterized. NCBI's taxonomy places the organism in Eukaryota, Metazoa, Chordata, Actinopteri, Salmoniformes, Salmonidae. The transcript has 4 exons. The record is from RefSeq and is a predicted model, not a curated record.
UGCAAUUGAGAUUGUCCUAUGGAUCUGUUGGAGCAGUAUGCAUAUUGGAGUCUGGGAUGAUGGAGUCAAUAUGUGCCAUAUCCAGCCUUUCAAAGCACUUCAUGAUUACAUAUUUGAGUGCUACAGGGAGGUUUUUGGGAACAGGAAUGGUGCUGGUCAGUUUAACACGUGGAGAUUACAGACUGGAACAAGGAAAGUUUGAAAAUAACCAUGAAUAUCCCUGCCAGCUGUUCUGCGUGUGCUCCGAGAACGCGCUCUGGAAUACCGUCUGUCCUUGCGAGUGUUGACCUGAUUAAAGUCCUUACUGUUGUUGGCCUUGCAGAGUGAGAUGACCCAGUCCUCUAGGUCUGUGGGGGCCCUCACGCGCAUCGACCCAUUUUGAACCUAUUGUCGAUGAAACCCUCUUGGGCAAACACGUGGGGGCCGUGUGGGGUACACAAACAAAGAUUGCAUUCCUAAGGACAAAUGGAUUGAGAAAGUUAGGUCGACGCAAUGAAAAAUAUACUUCAUUGAACCAUCCUACAGCAUGGACUGUCAAUCAUAGUAUGCAUGUGUUCAGAUGAUUUUCCAGAGUUUCAUUGAUCUCCAUAUAUUUCUGUAAACACAAGUAUAUACUUACUAUAUCAGAAGUUCUAUAAGGAUACUUGGGAGAUCUGGAAAAAAAAGCAUGCAUGAACCAUAUUUUAUAGUUUGCUUUGUAGAUUCGAGCCAAUGUCUGAAGUGUAGGGUUCGAACAGAUUCAGGGAACAGAACCAAAAACAUGAAAAUAAAGAAAUUAUUUGAGGAACAGCACCCAAACCGAAAAACAAAAGUGAUCUAUACUGUUCCAGAACAGAACCUCUAUUUUAAAAGCAUGGGAACCAGUUAAUGACGUUAAUUUACAUUCAGGGCAUUUUUUUCUGUCCCACAAAAAUUGGCAAAAAAAAGCACCUAUGCAAAAGCCCUCACUCUGUCAAAAACAAUGUUAUAUCAAAGUACUGCCUUUGAUUUGACAGCCUACACAUGCGCAGUUUACCGUUAGACCCGAUAACGUGUUUUUACGCAUGAGUUUAGAUCGGGGAUUUCAAUUUAUGCUUAUCGUCAUACUGUUCUGUCUUUGGCUGUAUUCUUUCUAGUCAAAACCCUUCGCCGGGGACCGUAUCCCAUAACAUUGCGACACAAAAAUCUCUGUAUUAACGAGUUCACACUUGGAAUAACCUUGUGAAGUCCAAGCUAAGUUAGCUUACUUGCUAACCAACAUCUGACUUGAUAGCUAGCUAGCAGGCGAUCUUUAAGGGACAGCUGGCAACUGAUGUGUUCAUUUCACUCCAUGGCAUCGGCUUGGCAGGACAUAACAGUCAUAUCCUACUGGUUUGGAGCUCGUGUUGCACCAUUGCAUAUGAAGACAAUUUUUUAAAUUAUCAAUUAAAAAUACAUCGGUGACAACUUGAUCAAGCCUAUGAAUAUGCAAAACUGUUUACAGAACCAUUGCACACGAAUAAAGGUAGUUGUGGUUCUCACAACUUGAACCAGCACUCGAAUCUGAGCAGUGAGUUUAGUCAGGAGUUUUUUCAGCAGUGCGCAACAUCCCUAUGUUAGAUAGAGAAUAAAGUGUGGAUCUACUUCUGUCAUACAGAAUUGUCAGCUCAUUCUAAAAUAAAGAUGUGGGCGAUUUGUGUCCCAGGGUGUGUGUGCAAGUUUUUAUUCCUGCCCAGCACAAACACCUUGUUCAACUAUCCAUGGUCUACAACUGAGACAACAAUGUUGGAGGUUCAUCUCCUUCAUUUGUCCCCCACUUGGGGAUGACUUAUUCUGUACAAUGGACUGUGUUCUAAGGAUUCAUGCACAGAUACAGGAAAACCAAUAAGUGGUAAUAUUUAUUUAAAUAAUGACAAGUGUUGAUGUCUCGCCAUUCUCCAAAGUUCUGGUUUUGAAGCUUGGUCAUCAGGGGGCUGUAGUUCAUCUUUCUAAUACUCUUCAAGGAGAGAAAGGCAAUAAUAGUACAAUAGUGUAUUCAUUUAAUGUAAUACAUUGUUUUAUAUGCAUGCAAAUAAUUAAAUUGGACAUGUUAUCCUUUACAAUAUGCCAGUGAUUGUUUUGUAUCCAAUGCAUUUAGCUUACAUUAGGAUGAAGUAGCCUAGGCCUUCUAAUCGCGUUAUAUUGCAUCAUAUCGGCUAGCAAUAUUGGUUAACAAUGCAUGAGUUGAAUAUAAACCAAGCUAUCUUGACCAUCAGAGUAAUUUAAUAAUAUGAAUGGGUGUUAUAAUAGUAUGAUUGUAUGCAAUGCAAGCCUGAUCAUUAGAAAUUAAACACCAGCAGUCCUAAUGCAUGCAAUAUUAGCUUUACAGUAAAACAUGACAAGUCUGGCUAUUUAUCAUUCUUCAACAGUAAGCAAAAUAGCUUAUCUAUUUGUUAAAUGUUUAGCUUCAGCCUCUGUAACAUGCAUGCAACUGCAAGCAAUACCUGUCAUACGUUCACAACAAUGUAGCAGGAGGCCAACCAAUAUGCAA